RNAcentral lists this ribosomal RNA (617 nucleotides) under Puccinia jaceae. RNAcentral describes it as "eukaryotic LSU rRNA". The stretch from base 234 to 387 matches the Rfam family "5.8S ribosomal RNA". Lineage: Eukaryota; Fungi; Basidiomycota; Pucciniomycetes; Pucciniales; Pucciniaceae. The record is from RNAcentral.
UUUCUGUAGGUGGACCUGCAGAAGGAUCAUUAUUAAAACCAAAGAGUGCACUUCAUUGUGGCUCAAAUUUUUUUUUUUAAACCCCAAAGCUUGUUUGUGUGACCAAUGUGUCAUUGCACUCAGGUAAAAGUAACAUUCUUGUUGCAUUAUCCCCCCCCCACACACACACUUUUUUUUUUAUAUAUAAUAAACACAUGUUAAUUUAAGAAUGUAAAAAUUGAUUAAUUUGAAAUAACUUUUAACAAUGGAUCUCUAGGCUCUCAUAUCGAUGAAGAACACAGUGAAAUGUGAUAAGUAAUGUGAAUUGCAGAAUUCAGUGAAUCAUUGAAUCUUUGAACGCACCUUGCACCUUUUGGUAUUCCAAAAGGUACACCUGUUUGAGUGUCAUGAAAAUCUCUCAUCAAAUUAAUUUUUUGGUGGAUUUUGAGUGUUGCUGUUAUGUAGCUCACUUUAAAUAUAUAAGUUCUUGCUAUGUGUGGGACUGACCUGGUGUAAUAUUAUUACUUCAUCAAGGAAAGUCUUGUGAUUAAAAUAUAGUAUCAGGACUCCUAAACUGAGAAAUUUCUCCUUCCUAUUUUUAAGACCUCAAAUCAGGUGGGACUACCUGCUGAACUUAA